Molecule: long non-coding RNA, 791 nt
Organism: Elgaria multicarinata webbii
Lineage: Eukaryota; Metazoa; Chordata; Lepidosauria; Squamata; Anguidae
Exons: 5
Source: RefSeq, a predicted model, not a curated record
CACGCUUCCCAGAGAACUGAAAUAGAAGAAAAAGCAAUAUGCGAUGGCUGAACCAAAAUCCAGAUUCAAGCUGGGCAGGAACCAUCCUGUGGAUUUCUUCUUUUCCCUGGAGUCUUUUUGAUUUUCUUUCCCCCCUCUCUUUUUCUGCUUAGUUUGCCAGCCAGUGGUGUCUUGAUCUGUUUCUUCUCCAGAUUCCUCUUCUUCCUCUUGGGCCAACUUCUCUUGUUCCCAAUGAAUAUCAAGUUGAGGCGAAAGGGAGCUGUGAACUAAAAUACCAUCUUAAGCUGAUGACCUCACUAUCCCUCCAGAUGAGGAGUUCUUGAGCUGGCCUUUGAGUUGGUCAAAUCAAGGCUGCAUUCUUAUGGAAAGUGAUUCUUCUGGUUUCUAACAGUACAACCCUAUAUAUAUUUGCUAUUCAGAAUUGUCUCAUUGAGUGAAAUGGGCCUUUUUCUCAGGCUUUGGCCAUGUUCCCUGAGUUACCAAUGUGUGUCCAUGUUUGACUAGCUCCCUUGGGAUGGUUUGUUAAGCCUUUCAAGAAUUCCCCAUUGUGAUUGCCUGAAGAAUUGUAUCAGGAAUCUUUUUUCUCCCUUCAUUGGGUUUGGAACUCGUUUUUGGAACCGUUGAGAUGGCAGCCGGAAAACCAGGUUGUUAUUGAGAGAGGACACCUGCUGCCCAACCAGUGAUGUUUAAAUCUUGGGGUUUCUUCAAUGAUAUUUAUGGACAACUCUCACUUCCACUCUGAAGGACAAACAGAAUAAAAAUAAAAUGAAAAGGUCUAUUGAAAUAGGAUU